Molecule: ribosomal RNA, 567 nt
Filed under: Alternaria papavericola
Lineage: Eukaryota; Fungi; Ascomycota; Dothideomycetes; Pleosporales; Pleosporaceae
Description: eukaryotic LSU rRNA
Rfam family: 5.8S ribosomal RNA (bases 190-343)
Source: RNAcentral
AGCGGGCUGGACCCCCCCAAAAGCGCGUUGCCCCCUCCAGGGCGUGUGCGUUUGGGGCCAGCCUUGCUGAAUUAUUCACCCGUGUCUUUUGCGUACUUCUUGUUUCCUUGGUGGGUUCGCCCACCACAAGGACAACCAUAUAAACCUUUUGUACUUGCAAUCAGCGUCAGUAACAACAUAAUAAAUUACAACUUUCAACAACGGAUCUCUUGGUUCUGGCAUCGAUGAAGAACGCAGCGAAAUGCGAUAAGUAGUGUGAAUUGCAGAAUUCAGUGAAUCAUCGAAUCUUUGAACGCACAUUGCGCCCUUUGGUAUUCCAAAGGGCAUGCCUGUUCGAGCGUCAUUUGUACCCUCAAGCUUAGCUUGGUGUUGGGCGUCUUGUCUCCAGUUCGCUGGGGACUCGCCUUAAAAUUAUUGGCAGCCGGCCUACUGGUUUCGGAGCGCAGCACAAGUCGCGCUUCUUGCCUAGCUAAGGUCAGCAAUCCACAAAGCCAUUUUUUCAACUUUUGACCUCGGAUCAGGUAGGGAUACCCGCUGAACUUAAGCAUAUCAAUAAGCGGAGGAAAA